This 495-nucleotide ribosomal RNA is filed under the name uncultured bacterium. RNAcentral's name for it is "partial 16S ribosomal RNA". It matches the Rfam family "Bacterial small subunit ribosomal RNA", at positions 28 to 507 of the family's 1533-position model. The record is from RNAcentral.
GACGAACGCUGGCGGCGUGCCUAAUACAUGCAAGUAGAACGCUGAAGGAGGAGCUUGCUUCUCUGGAUGAGUUGCGAACGGGUGAGUAACGCGUAGGUAACCUGCCUGUUAGCGGGGGAUAACUAUUGGAAACGAUAGCUAAUACCGCAUAAUAGUUGAUGUUGCAUGACAUUUGCUUAAAAGGUGCAAUUGCAUCACUACCAGAUGGACCUGCGUUGUAUUAGCUAGUUGGUGGUGUAACGGCUCACCAAGGCGACGAUACUUAGCCGACCUGGUAGGGUGGUCGGCCACACUGGGACUGGGACACGGCCCAGACUCCUACGGGAGGCAGCAGUAGGGAAUCUUCGGGAAUGGACGGAAGUCUGACCGAGCAACGCCGCGUGAGUGAAGAAGGGUCUCGGAUCGUAAAGCUCUGUUGUAAGAGAAGAACGAGUGUGAGAGUGAAAAGUUCACACUGUGACGGUAUCUUACCAGAAAGGGACGGCUAACUACGUG